CUGGGCCCCGCCUCCCGCGGCCGGUGCGCGUGCGCGCGCGCGCGCGCCGCGGCCAGGGGACUCGCUUGUUUUCUCCUUUACUCUUUGCUGUUUUAUUCUUAUUCUCUUUUUGGGGGGCUUGAGUGUCGAGCGGAGCUGGAAAGGCUAGCAGGGUAUCAAAAACCCACAUCCACAAAUGCAUGGUGGGGGGAGAGAGAGAGGCUGGCGAACCGCCUCCCCCCGUGCUCACGCGUGGACUCGGCUCUGUUUACUGCUUGCUCGCUCGCCAGAGGCUGACAGCAGAGCUGAGCGCGGGUCUGGGUGGCUGAGAUGCCAGGUGCGGGGAAGUGACCGAAGGAGAUGUUUCCUGACAUCGUUGUGGGUGUUUUUUGUUUUUGUUUUUUUUACGUGUAGUAUCUAUAGGUGGCACAGCGAAAUGUAAAUAAAAGAACCUGUGACUCUGCGCUAAUCCCGUUCUAUAUGUAUUCUAAUUCUCCCUUCUCGCGAUAGAAUCACGUUUCUUUGGCUGCAGAAUGAAGACAUCAAAAUGUAAAAUAGAAAUAUUAAUGUUUACUUGAUGAAUAUGACCUUGACAUUUCAGUUCCCGGGGUUUGAUUUUGUUUUUGUGGGUCAGCUCCAUUCAGCUGUUACCACCAGCAGUCCAAAACCAAAUCAUACCAGCUCUAGAGGCAGAAAGAAUACUGCUGUUGCAAUUUUGCAAUCUCUUUCUCAAUGCAUGCUCCAGGUCACGGGUAUAUUAGCAGUGUUCAGUGUUGUUUUUCCUACAGGGCUGUUGUUUAGCACACUAAGCACGUUGUGUAGGGUUGCAAUUAAUCUUAGACCCCAUUAUAGGUUGCAGAACGUUUUCACCUCCUGGGGAAAAUGGUGCGUUAAAAAUGCAAAUCAUCAUUUAUACAGAACGGAUCAUCUAUUAAAAGAGUUCACCAUUGCAGAAGAACAGUUGCACCACUUUCAUCUUUGUUACCAGGAAGUAUGUUGUAUUUUUUACAAAUUGAAGGAAAGAUCCUCCACCAGCAAGAAGAUUACAACUUGCUUUAUUACGAUACUUUAUUGAAGUGGUCUGGAACUGAAUUCACAGUAUCUCCAAGGACUUGGAAGGGGUUGAAUAGAUAUGUUCUCUGUACCCGGCUACUCUUAUACUACUGUGGCAAAGAAGCACAACAGACCACUGAUAACAAGAGAAGCAUGCAAUGCUGCACUGUUGGCAAUCUUUGGGUAACUAAAGAUUCUCCUGGCUAUCAUCAAUCAAAGAAGAGGUUUGACAGUCAAAUUUCCCAAUACUUUAGAAAUAUCUAUUUUUUUCACCUGUUAUAAUUUAUUGCAUAGAAAAAAAUCUGGAUGAAUAAACAUGUUAAUAGUGUUCAUACUCCAAAGGAAUGAGAUCACUGGAGAGAGAGUUCCAUUUUAACUUUACACUCUUUGCAGUGUGCCCUCACUGGUUGGGCUUAGUGGUUAGGGCUGAGGGGUUUCGGGUUCAAUUCAUGUCAAGGUCACGUACCUCGAUUGCAGGCCCUGGGAGCGGGGUUGUGAGGGAGGCAACCAAUUGAUGUGUCCUUCUUACAUCAAUGUUUCUCUCAGUCUCUACCCAUCCCUUCCACUCUCUCUAAAUGUCAAUAAAAAAUAUCCUCAGGUCAGGAUUAACAACAACAACAAAAACCCCACAAACUUUAAUGUAUUAUAUUAACAGUCCAAAACUGAAAAUAGGCUUGUUAUUAAGACAUUUCAGUAAAUGGGUGUGACUCUCAGGUUAAAAUAAACUACUCACUACUUUCUAAAGUAAAUUUUACCAAUAUGGUUUAUAAUUAUGGGCAUUUGGCAGAAAAAUUAAUUGCAUUCACUUCUUUCCCUUCACCAGCAUUUCAUUAUUUUAUUGUAUCCAGAGCAGUAUGUCUAAUUUUUCAUGGGAUAGACUAUAUUCUUGACACAUAGUAGGUCAUUAUUAAAUGUUUGCUGGAUGAAUACAUUAAAUAAACCUUAGUCCUAUUCUAUUUUGAAAUCAGAAUAAUUUUAAAAAUAGGAUAACAGUUUGGGCUCUGAAACAGUUUUUCUUUUUU
Molecule: long non-coding RNA, 2054 nt
Organism: Myotis daubentonii (Daubenton's bat)
Lineage: Eukaryota; Metazoa; Chordata; Mammalia; Chiroptera; Vespertilionidae
Source: RefSeq, a predicted model, not a curated record